This 283-nucleotide unclassified non-coding RNA is filed under the name uncultured Cephalotrichum. RNAcentral describes it as "sequence contains ITS2". The stretch from base 1 to 53 matches the Rfam family "5.8S ribosomal RNA", at positions 102 to 154 of the family's 154-position model. Lineage: Eukaryota; Fungi; Ascomycota; Sordariomycetes; Microascales; Microascaceae. The record is from RNAcentral.
GAACGCACAUUGCGCCCGGCAGUAAUCUGCCGGGCAUGCCUGUCCGAGCGUCAUUUCUGCCCUCGAGCCUGUCCAGCAUCUAGGUGCUGUUCGGGUUCGGCGUUGGGGCACUACGGGAAGCCUCGUGCUAUCCCCCGUAGGCCCCGAAAUGAAGUGGCGGUCCUGCCGCGGCUCCCCCUGCGUAGUAUUACAGCUCGCUUCGGGACCCGGUGGAGGCCUGCCGUCAAACCUUACUCUCUAAGUUUGACCUCGGAUCAGGUAGGGUUACCCGCUGAACUUAAGC